Molecule: ribosomal RNA, 255 nt
Filed under: uncultured bacterium
Lineage: Bacteria
Description: partial 16S ribosomal RNA
Rfam family: Bacterial small subunit ribosomal RNA
Source: RNAcentral
GACAGAGGGUGCAAACGUUGUUCGGAAUUACUGGGCGUAAAGCGCGUGUAGGCGGUCGUGCAAGUCGGGUGUGAAAGCCCUCGGCUCAACCGGGGAAGUGCACUCGAAACUGCAUGACUAGAGUCUCGGAGAGGAUAGUGGAAUUCUCGGUGUAGAGGUGAAAUUCGUAGAUAUCGAGAGGAACACCAAUGGCGAAGGCAGCUCGCUGGGACGUUACUGACGCUGAGACGCGAAAGCGUGGGGAAGCAAACAGGG